RNAcentral lists this ribosomal RNA (663 nucleotides) under Triticum aestivum (bread wheat). Its description in RNAcentral is "partial small subunit ribosomal RNA". Lineage: Eukaryota; Viridiplantae; Streptophyta; Magnoliopsida; Poales; Poaceae. The record is from RNAcentral.
AUGGUUAUCACUCUUUGGUCGAUUUGGUACUCUCGACGGAAGGCCAUAUAUGAAUCAAUCUUCCAAAGCCCACAGCAAACUGUCAACUUUGUUAACAACCACAUCAACGAUCUAGGUCUCAUCACAUCACGGGAGGAUCAUCCAGGUCUAACUGCCCCCGCCCAAGACCGCCCAACACGGUGGCUUCGUCCGCCGAGCGGCAAAGUCAAGAUCAACGUAGAUGGGGCAGUGGCUAGGCAAAGCAGAGGAGGAGCGAUCGCGGUUCUAUGCCGGGACCACGAGGGAGUCUACUUGGGAUCGUCGGCGGUGGUUUUUCGCCACACGAGGGAUCCCGUUCUUCUGGAGACAUAUGCUUGUCGAGAGGCACUAGCACUCGCCGACGACCUGGCGGUCAGAAACAUCUAUGUGGCUUCGGAUUGCCAGGAGGUGGUAAACAACAUCAACAGGAGCACCGGAGGCCCAAAUGCGUCUAUUGUGCAUGAAAUAUUGAGUCAUUGUAAUAGCUUUAGUUCUUGCUCUUUUGUUCAUGAGCGAAGGAACUUUAAUUUCGAGGCUCAUAAUCUCGCUAAAUUUGCUUGUAAGCUAGGUAUAGGGCGUCAUAUUUGGUUGGGCACACCUCAUGACCCAACAUGUGUACCUAUGACCAUCCCUUUGAUUGAAUAA